This 2656-nucleotide long non-coding RNA is filed under the name Callithrix jacchus (white-tufted-ear marmoset). Its description in RNAcentral is "lncRNA (ENSCJAG00000081601.1)". Lineage: Eukaryota; Metazoa; Chordata; Mammalia; Primates; Cebidae. The record is from RNAcentral.
AGAAGGGUUUCACUUCCGCCUGGCUGCAGGAACCACAAGUUCCCAGUCUAGGUCGUAAUUGGAAUAAUCACAGUCAAAAUACACCCAGAUGCUCUCACACACCCAGACGCGCGCGCAUCCCUGAGCCACGGGGCGCACGUGAGCCCGCACCCCGCGCACCCAGCCCUGCCUCUCGCCAGAGCAUCCUCAGCAGCUGCCACCAACGCAGACGCAGCCUCCUUCUCCUCUUCCUCCUCCUCCUACCUCCGCCGCCGCCGCCACCACUGCCGCUGCGGCUGUGAUCUAUCCCCUCUCGUCCUCCUUGCUCCCCCAGUUCCUGCUCUUCCUCCCAUCCCCUGCUUCUGCCCAGCGGCGAAGGGCAAAACCCUCGGCUGUGGGUCUUCUUCUCUCUGACCAAGAAGAGGCUGGAACAGGUUUCCCCCAAGAAAGAGCAGCUGAGUUCUUGCGUCUUGUGGCAGCUGGUGUGUCCAGCACUGAGUCCGUAGGAGCUGAAGUCAGCCUGGGCCCUUCUCAUGGGCAGUGCCACCUGUGCUGAAGUCCGCAGCAGUGGCAUUGUGAGGUGAGUAAUGAAGUCCACUGCAGGGAGUUAGGGAUCUCCAAAUACAUACAAAUGCUGCCUUUCCACCAGAUCUCCCAAUAUCAAAGACUGCCUGGACCUCAUGAGCUAGGCCUCAGGGCAUGACCCCUACAUUCUGGGGAAUUUUGCCUAGUACAGCUGCCUUUGGUCUCUUGCUUCCCACCCCACCUGUAAUAUGGGAAUGACAGCCUUGACCUACAUUUUGGGGUGAGGAGGAGAAAUAACGUAACAAUCAUUGCCAAGUCCUUUGCAGAUGUCAAGCAGCAUCUACGAGCUUCAGUGUAACACAGACAUGCUUCCCAUCAAGCUGUCAUUUUCUUUUCCCUUCUUUCCUGGUGCCUGGGUGGCUUUUUAGCCACAUGCUGCAAAUUUGCCAAUUAGUUCCUGUGAUUUCUACUGCCCAAUAACCUUAAUUUUGCCUUCCUAUUUGAAGUGUACCACCACCCCUUCCAUCCCUGCUUCUAGGCCUGUCAGGCUUGGCUUAAAUCUUCCUGAACCUUCUCUGCUUUCCCACAAAACCAGGAUAUACUGCCUCCAGCAGGUCCCAACAACACUUGAGUCUGUAGCAUGCAGUGUAGCACUUGCUGCCCUUCUACUUUAAGUAAUUCUUGGAUGGUUUCUGGAGUAUUCGUCUUACCAGGAAAACUAGACUGUAAGCUCUUUAAGGGCAGGGACUAGAUCUUAUAGAUCUCUAGUCUCCCUUAAAAGGGCUCAGCAGUUCCCCAGCAGCUUUGCAAGUUGGGCCUCUCUCUCUUCCUCUGCACUUCUUUCAGGUUUCAUGGCCUGCCUCUCCGAUCAUUUCUCUGUAUCUUUGUCUGCCUUUCAGGCAGGCAUCAUAAUUUCUUCUGUCAGCUUCUCCAUCUGGUGUUCUGUUGUUAUUCCCUGCAGUCCGGCUACCUGCUUGUAGCUUGCUGUCCCUUCAUCUGGUCUUCUAUCUGUCAGCUGCUUAGGCAUCUCUCCUACUACCCAAAUCAAAAAACCACCAACCAAAUGUUUUAAUAAACCAACCAGAAAAACGAACUAAACAAAAUCAAGCAAGGAAUAAGCAAUGUAGUUCCCUUUCACACUGAGCAUACAUUGGACCUACAGACAAGGUAAAACUCCAGCUCAGUGGCAGGUGUUUCUCUGAUGCCUUCUUAUGAAAGAGAAGCUCCAGAGUUUCAGCCUUGGAAUUGAAGGUAUGAAAUUACAGCCUUGUUGAUACUGAUGCAUUCAACUUUCUAGUGAUGUUCUGGUAGGGGAUCCUCUAUAGACCUUGAUGGACAGAAGGUAACUAGGACUGACUAAAAUGAGAAGCCCCUGGAUCACUCUUUGGUGUUCUGUGACAGAUGCAAUAAUAACUUGUAUUUCUUGUCUAAUGUUGCCAGCUCUGUGCUAGGCACAUACCAAUUUGCUCCUAUGGUAAUCUUGCAAGGUGGGCAUUCUUUUUUCUAGUAGUUAUUGCUGUUUCUGACUAUACAAGUGAUACUAGCUCAAGUUAGAUAGUAUCAUCAUCAUUGUUUUACCAAGGAGGAGAUAGAGGCUGAGAGAAGCUAAGGAACUUACCUGUAACUGGAGACAAGCUGUGGCUUUGGGAAGAAAGAGACUUUCUGGAGAGAGUUUCCCAGCAUCUCAUACAAAGUUAUUUUGGUAUCUUUAGUUCACGUGCACACACAUACAUACUCUCAUAAGCACAUCCAUGUACUCUUGUACAUUCACACAGCCACAUUAUCCCCUGGGCUCACUCACUUUUCAUACUGGGGUCAUUCAAAGUGAUGAUUACUCUUACCCCUCACUCUCACAGACAAUCACAUUUACAUACAUGCUACAUUCAGGUACAUUCACACUGCCACUAACCAGCAUACACAUAUUCACAUUUUCAUAUUGAUGCACACAAUACACUUACCAUAUACCCGACCUUCAUGUUUAUAGCCACUCACACCUUUGUGCUAUUAAUAUUACAGUCUCACACACAGUCAUACACUUUCACACUUAAUCACAUUCACACAGAGGAUACAAUCACCUUGCCUGCUCAAAUUCCUAUGUAGUCAUACACACUCUGUACACAAAUAAUACAUUGACUUCCCCCUGCGCACACUC